Molecule: ribosomal RNA, 484 nt
Filed under: uncultured bacterium
Lineage: Bacteria
Description: partial 16S ribosomal RNA
Rfam family: Bacterial small subunit ribosomal RNA
Source: RNAcentral
AUUGAACGCUGGCGGCAGGCCUAACACAUGCAAGUCGAGCGGGUGAGGGGAGCUUGCUCCCUGAUUUAGCGGCGGACGGGUGAGUAAUGCCUAGGAAUCUGCCUGGUAGUGGGGGAUAACGUUCCGAAAGGAACUCUAAUACCGCAUACGUCCUACGGGAGAAAGUAGGGGACCUUGGGGUCUUGCGCUAUCAGAUGAGCCUAGGUCGUAUUAGAUAGUUGUUGAGGUAAUGGCUCACCAAGGCGAGGAUCCGUAACUGGAAUUAGAGGAUGAUCCGUCAGAUGGGAACAGAGACUCAGCACCGACUCGGGCGGUAGGCAACGGAGGAGAAUAUUGGAGAAGGCGCGAAAGCUUAAUACAGGCAUGAGGAGUGUGUGAAGAAGGUGUAAGGACUGUAAAGCGAUGAAAGUUGGGAGGAAGGACUGCUGGUUAAUACCGUGCAGUUAUGACAUUACCAGCAGAAUAAGCACCGGCUAACUACGUG